GUAGUCAUAUGCUUGUCUCAAAGAUUAAGCCAUGCGUGUCUAAGUAUAAACAAAUUUGUACUGUGAAACUGCGAAUGGCUCAUUAAAUCAGUUAUAGUUUAUUUGAUGGUAUCUUGCUACAUGGAUAACUGUGGUAAUUCUAGAGCUAAUACAUGCAAUCAAGCCCCGACUUCUGGAAGGGGUGUAUUUAUUAGAUAAAAAACCAACGCGGCUCGCCGCUCCCUUGGUGAUUCAUAAUAACUUCUCGAAUCGCAUGGCCUUGUGCCGGCGAUGCUUCAUUCAAAUAUCUGCCCUAUCAACUUUCGAUGGCAGGAUAGAGGCCUACCAUGGUUUCAACGGGUAACGGGGAAU
Molecule: ribosomal RNA, 351 nt
Filed under: uncultured fungus
Lineage: Eukaryota; Fungi
Description: SSU rRNA
Rfam family: Eukaryotic small subunit ribosomal RNA
Source: RNAcentral